AGCGGCCCCUGCAUUGCGGAGGGGCCCGGCCGCUGCGCGAAAUGGCGGGGCCGGCUCUGAGGGAUCGACCCCGCCACGGAGGCGGCUCGGUGAGAUAGGUACGGAGAUGUACCUCAGAAACCGCACCGCUGGCUUGCAGACUGUGUGGUGACAGACCCUCCAACUGCUCCCCGCACUGACUUCGACAGUAAAAGAUCUGAGUGCGUAAAUUAAGGCUACAGACAUUCCCUUCCAGUCCUUUUUCCUUGGCCCUCCUCAAGUUAUCUGGGAGAACUUCCCACCACUGCCACUUCCCUAGUCUAGCAUUUCAUCUAUAAAUCAGUGGCAUGCAAAGGGAGCAGAAUCAUGCCAAGAGGACAAAGCCAUCAUGUUCCCCUCUGGCUGCUCACCGUCAGUGAUGUAUAUCCAUCCGGAGGAGAUGCUUCCAGAGGAAACAUUUGCUGCAGGCAGUCAUUCUUCCAGACUGUCGGGAGUGAAGACUGUCAAGGACAGUGUACCUGCAUACCCAGCACCCAGGGCCACAGUAGUGCCUUUCCCUGCUGUCCUCUUUAGUGCCUCCCUUUGAAGGCCCACACAGCCAUACAAAGACCCCAGAGGAGCUCUCCCCACAAGCUCAGCUUAUUUUGAGCUUACACUAUUAAAAAAAUAAAAUUAAAAAAAAGGAAAGGACAGCUUAUAUUUUUGUGGGAAAUAAGCCCUGUGAUGACUAUCAUGGAAGAGAGCUCUCAGUGGAAAGACACCAUGCACAAUAAAUAGGCUUCAUGCUGUCUACAAAUGAUCCUAGAGCUCACGGUGAUAAAACCAACCAGAGAAAGGCUCAGAAUAUUCCAUGUGCUGUGGAGAAAUCAAUGCCUCUAGCUCCAAUGCAGUACUUUAGCAGCCCCUUUUCAGCAGCAGGCUGCAGAGAGAAAAGGUGAAUCUUGGAAGUUAGUCAUUCAGCUGCAGCUCUCCGUUAAACAGUCAUCAAAGAUGAUGAAAAAUAAACACAGAAAAAACAAUGUGGCAUUCACCAUUUUCCACCAGAUAAUUAUCUAGUCAAAUUACAUUAUACUUUACAUUAAAUAUUCAGCAACGGCGUUGACACUAGACGUUUUAAGACAGGGAAAAUUCUUAUAAUUUAUGUUAGAGAUGUUAAGAUACACACACGUUAUCUUUAUUAGAAGUAUUCAUAAAGAGAUCAAAAAGCAUCAUCCCAGUAAGAGAUAGUGGGGAAAUAUUUUUUACAAAGGAGGUUUUUACAUAACCUCACAAAUGAUGGGCUUUAUAGUAAAGCUUUGACACACUGAAUUAUGAAUGUCUAUAUGAAGGUCUAAUAUGUGAAAUAGAGGAUUUUUGCCUGCCUGCUAAAAGAAGGAAGGACAUAGUAGUCUUUUUUAAAAUGAUUCAUUUGAAAUAGCAGCUGAGAAAUAACACACUCCAAAAGGGACCACGUCAAUAUACGUUCUUUUCUUUAGACUAUAUAGCUAUAAUAACAAACUCCUGUUUCUCCUCUGCCAGUUUAUCAAGCUGUAAUUGUUGGCAACUUAGGUGUUUGGCUUCCCUUCAGAGCAGAGAAGGAAACAUUUAAUCUCUCAAAAACACAGUAUGACCCAAGACUUGGUGCCAAUGUCACAGCAUUAGCUAAGUGAACAGAGCAGUCAAGUCAAAGCCAACUCUUACUUAUUCGUGAUCGGAAGCGCUACAAGCAGAAACGAGAAUUAUGAAGCGAUGGAAAGUAUUCUGUGGUGUUUUGUGCACUUUCCCCGGUAGCAUGUUCUCAGUCUCUGGGCAUGUGCCACAACCGGUUGAGCAGUUUUUGCCACCUUUCCCCUUGGAAGCACCUAGGCUAAGGUGACCGUGAAGGCAUGAUUACUGCCUCGGUUUGGCUGAGAUGUUUCUCACAGUGACAGAGCUCUAGGGUCCCCCUAGUGCCCUGCUGAGGCAAUAAGAAAAAAAAAGGUGAGCUGAAUAGCUCUUUAAAAUGUGUCACCAACCUCAAAGCAAAACAAAAGCAUCCACUGAAAAUAUUACAUAUUUGUCCCUGGCUUUACAGAAGAGACUAUGUUCAAGUUGCUUCUGACUUGGACAGGAAACUCAAUUGUAUCAUUAGCUCAUAUGGUAAAAUUUCCGUUUAAGAGACCUCUUUUUUCUGCCUGUCUUCCAUUUGAUAACAUCUACCUUCUAAAGAUUAUUUGGAGAUAUUACCUGUCUGUAAAUGAAUGCCUCAGGUUACCACGGGAAAGCUUUAAGCAAGGAUCUAGCCACAGUGGCAGGACUGUCACCAGAGCAGCUCUGCCUUGUAGACCUUCGCUAUCUUUGGUCUUUUUGUCUGAGGGAACUAGGUUCCCAUGUGAAUUAUGAUGGAUUAGUUAGCUUUAGGGAGCUACGCUCUCAUUUACUAAAUGCUUUAGAUGUCAAAAGCCAGUUUUUACAUUAGAGCUAGAAUGAUUUGAAAGAUUUGAAAGCAAGCAGAGUACUAAAUACUGCUGGCACCUGCUCUUGGGGACUCAAGGAGACAAGAACUACAGUAGAGACUCCACUCCAGGGGGCAUCUGGAUCCUCAGUUCUCAGUGCUGUGAUUGAAAGCAGAGGGUCCCCAGAUACACACAACAGUGAAAAAUGCACAGCAGAGGUCCCUUACUGAGGACGCAGGUCUGUGCAGAGCCUCCUUUUUUCCCCUGUCAUUUACCUAACCCAGAUACAUUUUCUCUCAGCUCUUGAGGCUUUAUGACAUAUUGGUUAUGGGGCUGCUUGCCUUUGCUGAAGAGGAAAAAAGCAGAUGUCAGGCUUGUCAUGUUAGGGACAUCUCACAGGAGAUUUUGUAAAUGUAUUCAAAAGGAAGUGAGGGGUGUACCGAUCCUGGCAGAAUGCAGAUGGUGAAAGUUCCUACCCUAAGCCAUUUUUCACUGCUUUAACCCAUGUUCUGGGGUAGAGAGGAAUAUUUCAUCUGUUAAAUUCCCAUCUCCACAAGAAAGGAAAAGAAGGCUCUCCAGAAAAUAAGGUUUGUUGCUCUUAACAUUUUCUAGUUAUAGCAGGGAAUGUUGUUUGCCAGGAAGUAUCAAAUGCAAGUUUAUGAGUUUGGUUUAUUCGCUUUGCCAUCUCUAGCUUCUCACUAGUAUAAGCACUGCCUUCUUUAUCUAGCAUGAAAGCUGUGGGAAUAAAACUACUGCCCCAUUCAGCCUUAUUAGGUCUGCUAAUGCAAUAGGAAAAUAAACAGCCACUGCCUACCUAAAGAUGAACAGAACACACAUUAAGGUUUAAGUAGUGAAAUCUCUUUGCACAUUGCAUCUGUAGGAAAUUAUAUGGAAAAGUUGCAUUUUAAAGUAAAAAGGAUGUAUAAAUUACUAAAUAUUCAAAUUGGUUAGAACAUAAGGGGUAUCCUAUUUUUGAUAUUUAAUUUCCUGUUCUAGUGGAAAGUCUGAUUUUUUCCAACAGUAUCUACUGAGAAUUAAAACCUCAGAAGGAGUCUAUUACUAUGCUUGCACAUGGAAGCUCUUCAACUCUCUGAUGCACUGAUAGCUUGUUUUAUUAAUGUGGAAUUUUGAUAAGGCUUUUUACUUCUUAAUAUGCUCAUCUUAUGUUCAAACAUGUAAAUGUUACUACAUUUUCCAUGCCUAGAGCUUAAAUUAUCAGCUGAAAAAAAUUAGCCUAAUCAAGUUAACACUACAAUACAGGGCAACAUAGUUCAUCUUGGGGUUGGGGGUUCAUAUUUCUUUUCCCCUUUCUACGAAUAAAACACCGCUGUUAUUUGUUGAGAGAGGGGAGGCAUCUACAGACAGAAUGAGGGGCUGUUUAUUCACAUAGGCUACAUACAUUGCCAGUUUGCUGCUACAAGUCCUCAGUCAGUUUUGGAAAAGACAAAACUGCAUGCCUUCAGGCCAGGGCUGGAGUGAGCACAGGAGUCCAUGUUCUGCAGUCCUAAAAGCACUGAAGAAUUAAGGCAAUUCAUAGAGGGCUGUGAUAGACCUCACCCACUUAUGUGGAUCAGCCAUGAGAAGAGCAUAAAGGCCGUGAGGCAGGGUCUGCCCAAAGGAAAAAGAGGGACUUGGAAGUAGCCUCAUGGACAUCACACACUUCCCAAAGGCCCUACUGGCUGCUAGCCCAGCGGUGCUUCAGGCUCAUUGAUCACAGUCCUCAGGAAAACUCAAGUUCAGAAGAUUCAUUUGUAAGUCACAUCACUCUGCCUUGCCAGAACUGUGGCUAGAGGUUAAACAUCAAACAUGUUUGGGCUCUUUCCCAUCAACAAGCUUCAAGCUCUGCCUAAAACUCAGCUUCCGUGCAAACAACAAAUGUGGCGUUGUAGUCUAGGUUUGAGAAUGGCCUCAGUCUGAGCAAUGAACACACCCACUAUGUCUUCGUGUGGCUGAAAUAAGUCCCUGGCCUGAGGAAAAUGGUUCUGAAUGCCUGAAGAUUACCUGUGGGUUUGCUGUCUUACAAAAUGGCUCCCCAUUCAGGGUCAUCACCAGCACAUCACUCUAAAGGUCUGCUUUGUACAUGAAAGAUGAGGGGUGGAGAUGAAGUGCCCCUAAAGGGCAGCACGUACAAAACAUCUGUAAAUUCCUGCUAGCUUCUGCCCAUAUAUUUGCCGAUGGUUAUCUAGCAGCACAAAUCAGUACUUCAUGUGCAGUUAUCUGUCUGAAUUAGAGAUGUUUCCCCAUGUAAGCCCCUGGGUUAAUGAACUGAUACAUUUGCUGCAACCAGCUUCUGAAUUGCAGCCUGUGCGCCUGAAUGAUCUCUCCUGAAAGCAGAGCUGAAGAACCCAUGGGAUCUGUGAAGAGAAGCAGCUGUAGUUGCUUUAGCAUAGUCUCUGCCAUGCCAGCAGGUAGAUGAAGUUAUAUAAAAAGGUUCAGAUCUUAUUAAAUCUGCUGUCACAAUAAGAAAGCAGUAGUUCACGCAACUCUUGGGCAGAUCACAAAGCAGCCUAGCAGUCACACAGCUACCUGCGUUAGCUCUGAAACACAUUGGGCUAAUAGAAGCUACAUCUUUUUCAACUAGUACUUUGGAUUUUUCAUUCGGAGAGCCUGUGCUCCAGUCCAGUUCAAAGAGGAGAGUCAACAGAGCAACUUGGGGUGCUCAUUCCUGUAAGUUACCUCAGCCAGCAGUUCGAAUGAAAAAAAAGGUCAGAAUUGGGAUUAAUUCUGCCUUGAGUCUUGUAUCCUGACAAAGGAGCUGUAAGAGAAAUGCAAAGCAUGUUAUAAUCAAAGACCUGAUGGGUGGAGAGAGAAGCAUUUCAGGUGGUUGUGAAACGCAUCAACAUCUAUUGUCUACAGCGACUCCUUGUCAUCACUUGAUAUUUCUGAUUUUCAAAGUGUCUAUGGAUGCUUUGCGCAGGCUGCUGUGUUGCCAUGGACACAGUGGUGUCAGCGCUGAGGCCGUUAGUAAAUGGGCUGAUCUGUUUGUGCACCUACAGAACGAAAAGAAAGACAAAUCCCAUCGUUUGUGGAGCUGUUAGCAAAGGGAGGCUGACAGUAAAACAAAGUGACUCCGCAUAAUGGUUUUCAGAAUGUCCUCCUCUUCAUAAUGAUGGUGGAGUAAAGAGAGGGAAGAUAAUGAAUCCAAGGGAUGAGGAGAGCUGUCAGGCACUUACCAAAACCCUGCUUGCAUAGCUUAAGGCAAAGGUCCCUACAUGAUAGCAUCAACUACAUGGUCAAGGAAAAUCAAUCAGGUUUAAUAAUUCAGUUUCCUAAUGCUUGGCAACACUUUCUGCAAGAGCAAGGCAAAUCAACAACGGCAACAUCAAAAAUACCAAAGCGAACAGGAGUGAUCAAUAGACAACAUAACAAAACAGAGCAACUUGCUUUUAAGAGAUACCCUGGGAGCAAGCAACAGAUCCACAUUAUAAAGCUAAUAUUUAGAUAGUACACACUUAAUGCUUUUAUCCAGGCACAGCUCCACUGCUAAGUGAGAGGCAAAACAGGUUUAGAAGUGACAGGCUAGUGUAUGCACAGGAAAUCAAGUAAAAAACCCGGGCAGCAGUCCAGUCUGUUUUCAAACUUUUGCUUUUUUCUUGGUGUUAGAACAAUCUCAUUAGUUGUCCAUAUAAACAGCACAGAUCUGAGAGCUGAAUUCCCAUACAUUCACGCAGGGCUUAUUAUUAUUAUUAGGCAACAACAUAAGAUUGUUUAAUUUGAUUAUGACUUUUCAUUUUCUGCUCUGUUAUUCUAAAGGGAGCUCUGCACAGAUUAGGCACAUUACCGUGCAUUUCACUGAGAGCUUCUCUUGCCUUUGAAUUUGGGGUCAAGCACCAAAACUUUCAGAGGGAAGGUUUGUUCCCCACUGCUGACAUGGAUGUUUAAGGUAAAUAGCUGUUACCAAUAAGAAGGAAGAAUAAUAUGAGGUCACCCUUAGCGUACCUUCUCUCAGUGGGGCUGCAUCACUGAAUAAGAACCAGAAAUAGAAUGCAGGAUGUUUUAUAGGGAUUUCUUAACCAAUGAAGUUUGAUCCACUUGGUUUCUCUGCCAUAAAUCAGGGAAAACAAAGUUGGCCAGUUCUGCAGUCAGCUGUAGUGUCCUCCCAGACUCACAUCUGCAAUGGAAGCACCAAGAACAAUCUUUAGAGAAGCUGAAGAUAAGCAGAAAGCCAGAACUCCAAUCCUUGGCCUUCUGUAAGUCCUCUCGGUCUGGCAUCUCUCCAGAGGUGUGGACAAAGACUUGGUGUCUUUCCAGCUCUAGACCAACACGGCCAGUAGCUCUAAGGAAGCUUCUCCAGCCCAGAGCCACUCAAGCCUCUCCUCGUGGCUUUGCUCUGCGGACAGGCCCAGCAGCACAGCUCUGUCAGGGUGCUGGCUCCACUCCUUUACCUCCUGCUGCCGACUCACACUGAAGACAGCUGAGCCCAGAGAAACGCUUCGCACACCAGCCACUGCGGUCACCCCAGAGGGGAAGUGUGAGUGCGGACAGGUGGUUUUUGCCCUCCCAGCUGCAGCAGGAGGGAGCUCUGAAGUACAUCUCUUCAUUUUGAUAAGACUUACUUCUCGUUACGCUGGCAUUGAAAGAUAGCAGGCCCAAGUCUGUUCUCAUUUCUCCGAGGUAAUUCUGCUGAUGCCAAAUCAAUCGCCAUGUCCUGUCUCUUUAUGGCUCUCUUGACUUAUUUUUUUCCUGGCAUAAAUGAGACAAUUGUCUGAGCACAGCUCUGCUUCAGUCUCAUCUGUGCAGCAUCUCUCCUCAGCCACCUGGAGAGCACACUAUGGCAGAAGUCAGCAAGUGCUUCUGCAAUGUAACAGGAGGUCCUGGUGUCCACAGGGACAAGAUCAAGCUUGGAAAAUAAGGGGCAAGCUCAAGAUAGAAGUAGUCAGCACUCUUUUGGUGCAUGUUCCCUGGCACUACAGACAGACAGGCAUGUGAGAACCGUGCGUAAUGCCAUAAUGCCUAAAAAAUUUUCAGUGGUGCAAGUUGCACGCAGCCCUUUCCUGUUGAGAGGCUGGCUUAUGCCCUGGAAAAUGACAAAUUGCAUCUCUUCCAAAAAUCUUGAUUAUCGCUUAAGUCCUUGUGUUCACAGUCCUCCCAGAUCCUCGUGGAGGUUCAGAGCAGCCUUCUCCUGCAUACAGAUAACUGUGAUUAAAUUU
Long non-coding RNA from Cygnus olor (mute swan), 7543 nucleotides. RefSeq lists it as uncharacterized. The record is from RefSeq and is a predicted model, not a curated record. NCBI's taxonomy places the organism in Eukaryota, Metazoa, Chordata, Aves, Anseriformes, Anatidae. The transcript is spliced from 3 exons.